Long non-coding RNA from Oreochromis aureus, 2312 nucleotides. NCBI's taxonomy places the organism in Eukaryota, Metazoa, Chordata, Actinopteri, Cichliformes, Cichlidae. The record is from Ensembl.
CAAAUACCAGGUACAGAUUGUGUGAAAUGACUUUAACCACCGAGAGCAGUUUGGGAACAUUCUCACCCUUUUUCGGGGUGGGGGGGGGGUCUGAAGGUGAAACCACACACUUCCUUUUUUUUAAAGCUACUUUGAAGCUUUUUUGGGGGUGGCAUCAAAGAGGGAGGAGGGCUAUGUUACCUGCUGAUGUUUGCAAACCUGGUUAGUAACUAGACUUUAUAUUAGUGCUAAGCAACAGACUGAGAAACAAAAAUACACAAACUUUUGCUCACCAAACUUGGACCACAGACGUUGUGUGUUGCCUGAUAGUAAAACUAAUGACACAUCAGGCCGUGUUAUUAGUCAAAUUAGGCGGUUACAACUGCCUACAUGUGAAUUUAUUCAAUUUUGAAGCCAGCCUAAAGUGGCCUUUAGAGAAAAGCCUGUCGACUUUGGGUUUCCUUCUUGACAUUAAGUAAGAAAUUCUAUAUUAGUAGCAGUCGUCAUAGUAGUAUGAGUAGUUCCUCCUUGAGAACGUGGGUUUUGUGGUUUUUCUAAAGAUUAGGGAAAAGGAGCACGGCAGCUUUGAAUGACAAGCAUGUCGACACAGGCAGAUCUGUGCACCUCACCACUAAUUCAGAACACUGAACUCAACUUUACUACUUGGUUUACUUUGGAAAUAAACAAGUCAUACAUUUUCAAGUGUGACACAGAUCAUCGGAGAGGUUUACCUUAUUAGUCUGUAACUUUGCACUAAUUACAGUCUAGAAGUACAGAUUCUUAACCAAGAUAAAAUGGUGACGGCCCAGAAACCAGUGGGUGAUGUCACAGAAGCUAUUAUGUCUUUUAUAUAGUCUGAGGAAUCAUAGCUUUUGGGCUUCACACAGUUGGGUCACAUGCGCCAUCAUCGACGUGGGCAGGAGGUAAAUAUAGAUAUUACAUUCUGGGCUUAAAACCAGUAAAAACUGGGGGACAUUUUUAUCUUGUUUUUUUUUUUUGUUUUUUUUUAGUGGACUGUUUAAGGUUGUCAUGAAGAGUCUCUGAUCUGCCCCCUACUGGAUGUACUUUUUAAAACCACACAGAAGUUGAUGAACACAACUGUUUGCUUUGUAAUUCUGCGCUUAUGUGUACUGUUGUAAGAAACAAACAGUUUACUGUAGCAAUGAGGUUUGAGUGUUAACAGGCUGUUUUAACAACAAAAACGUGCAUAUUUGUGGUGACAAUAUAGAUGCAGAUUUAUACAAAUAAGCCAGUGUGAAGCCGCCCUAACUGAUCUGCUCCAAAGAAAAAUGUUCAUACAAUGUGUUGUCCAACACUCCUCUUUGCUAAGUGUCAUUGUACAAAGUUGAUAGGAUUUUUUUUUUAUUUAUUUUAGUGCCUGAAAGAAAAAGAAAAGGAAAAAGUCAGAUACCAAUAAUAGAGGAAUAAAAAAACAACCCUUGAAGCAGGCUGAGGAUUCUCAAAAAAUCAAAUGCUGAAUUUUCAUUUGGAGGAUGUAGCUCUGUCAUUGGUGUUAGUGUGAGUGCAGUUUUGAGGGUGCUUUGAGUGUACCCUUAUCUGUCUGGAACAAGUCAGUGUCUCGUAAAUCCAACUGCUGCAUCGCCAGAAGCCUUAAUUUUAAUAUGAAACAUCUGCUGCUUGCUCUAAACUUUUUCCAUUCACUGGUGAGAUUUAACACUUUGUUGCCUUGUCCAGGAAAUAAACUUCCUGCCAAAUUACCUGGGAAAUUAUCCAGUUUACACACAGAUGAGGAAUGCUUUAAUGUGCCAUAAAACGACAGAGCAGCAGCCCUUCUGAGUCCUGAGCUGGAUUGUUGUAAGCAAGUUUACUUCCUCACCUUUGACAGAGGAGUUUGUUGUGACUUUAAAUCCAAAGUUGUGCUCACCAGACUCUCUGCAGUCUUCAAAUGUAGAGUUUUAUUUCCAUUGCUAGGUGCAGAUAAAUCCACUUAGUCAGCUGCUCGUAAUUCCAUUAUAAACAUCUGUAUAUGAGCUGUAGAUUUAGUACAAAGUGACAACAGGUGACCAAACGUGUGCGGCCUGUGGUACCAUAGCUUUAAUUCAGCUCGUCAUGUAAGUUUCAUUUAACAAACAUGCUGAUUAUCAGUCCAUUUACAGAGGCCGAACUACAGAAGCAUUGAAACAACAGAUAAAAAUCAUGAAUCCACCGCUGUCACUUUGAAUGAAAUAAAACAUUUUUAAAAAACAAACUGAAUUCUUGGGUUUUUCUUUUUCUUUUUGAAAAAUUGUGCGUACUCUGGAGGUAAGAGCUGAAUUGAUCAUCUGUGGAGGAGUUGGUCUAUAAAAGCUGAUUCUUACGCCAAUGAAUUUCUG